RNAcentral lists this transfer RNA (72 nucleotides) under Camelus bactrianus (Bactrian camel). It matches the Rfam family "tRNA". Rfam says of the family: Transfer RNA (tRNA) molecules are approximately 80 nucleotides in length. RNAcentral also lists the same sequence under 3 other names. The record is from Rfam by way of RNAcentral. Lineage: Eukaryota; Metazoa; Chordata; Mammalia; Artiodactyla; Camelidae.
AGGGAAAUAGCUCAGUGGUAGAGCACAUGGUUAGCAUGCACGAGAUCCUGGGUUCAACUCCCAGUACCUCCA